GCUUGUCUCAAAGAUUAAGCCAUGCAUGUCUAAGUGUAAAUAAGUCUAUACUGUGAAACUGCGAAUGGCUCAUUAAAUCAGUUAUCGUUUAUUUGAUGGUCCCUUACUACAUGGAUAACUGUGGUAAUUCUAGAGCUAAUACAUGCGUAAAGUCCCGACUCUUUCUGGGGAGGGAUGUAUUUAUUAGAUAAAAAACCAAUGCGGGUUCUGCCCGGUUUUGUGUUGAAUCAUAGUAACUUUUCGAAUCGCAUGGCUUCACGCCGGCGAUAGUUCAUUCAAAUUUCUGCCCUAUCAGCUUUCGACGGUAGUGUAGUGGACUACCGUGGCGUUAACGGGUAACGGAGAAUUAGGGUUCGAUUCCGGAGAGGGAGCCUGAGAAACGGCUACCACAUCUAAGGAAGGCAGCAGG
This 409-nucleotide ribosomal RNA is filed under the name uncultured Cryomonadida. RNAcentral describes it as "partial small subunit ribosomal RNA". It matches the Rfam family "Eukaryotic small subunit ribosomal RNA", at positions 30 to 432 of the family's 1831-position model. The record is from RNAcentral. Lineage: Eukaryota; Cercozoa; Thecofilosea.